CCCACACUUAUGGGUCCCAUCCCACACUUAUAGGGUUGCCCCACACUUAUGGGUCGACCCACACUUAUGGGGCAGCCCGCGCCUACUUAUGGGUCCCACCCCACACUUAGGGGGCCGCCCCACACUUAUGGGUCCCGCCCCACACUUAUAGGGCCACCCCACACUUAUGGGGCAGUCCGCACCCACUUAUAGGUCCCACCCCACACUUAGGGGGCCGCCCCACACUUAUGGGUCCUGCCCCACACUUAUAGGGUUGCUCCCCACUUUUGUGUUCCCUCACACUUAUGGGGCUGCCCCACACUUAUGGGGCCCACACCUACUUAUGGGUCCCACCCCACACUUAUAGGGCUGCUCCUCACUUAUGGGGCAGCCCACACCCACUUAUGGGGCUGCCCCACACUUAUAGGGCCGCCCCACACUUAUGGGGCACCCAGAUUUACUUAUGGGGCAGUUCACACUUAUGGGUCCCACUCCACACUUAUGGGUCCCACCCCACACUUAUAGGGCCGCCCCACACUUAUGGGGCAGUCCACCCCACACUUAUGGGUCCCACCCCACACUUAUAGGGCCGCCCCACACUUAUGAGGCAGUCCACACCUACUGUUGGGUCCCGCCCCACACUUAUGGGUCCCACCCCACACUUACAGGGUCACCCCACGCUUAUGGGGCACCCAGGUUUACUUAUGGGGCAGCCCACACUUACAGGGUCGGCCCACACUUAUGGGUCCCACCCCACACUUAUGGGGUCGCCCCACACUUACAUGGUCACCCCACACUUAUGGGGCAGCCCACCCCACACUUAUGGGUCCCACCCCACGCUUAUGGGUCCCACCCCACACUUAUGGGGCAG
Molecule: long non-coding RNA, 850 nt
Filed under: Phasianus colchicus (ring-necked pheasant)
Lineage: Eukaryota; Metazoa; Chordata; Aves; Galliformes; Phasianidae
Description: lncRNA (ENSPCLG00000017497.1)
Source: RNAcentral